Molecule: small RNA, 227 nt
Filed under: Arabidopsis thaliana (thale cress)
Lineage: Eukaryota; Viridiplantae; Streptophyta; Magnoliopsida; Brassicales; Brassicaceae
Description: ATSL199570
Source: RNAcentral
GAAACCAGUUGCGGUUUUAGUUCUUAUACUCAAUCAUACACAUGACAUCUAGUCAUAUUUGAGUCCAAAAUACUAACCAAGCUUCUUAUUGCUUUUCCAAGCUUUGAUGGUGUAGCCGAAGUCCGUAUGAGUCUUUGGCUUUGUAUCUUCUAACAAGGAAGCAUUACUUUAGCUUUUCGGAACCGGUUGCGGUUCUAGUUUUUAUACUCAAUCAUACACUUGACAUC